CGGCGGCGGCAACGGGCGUACCCCCGGGUUGCGCGUCCUGGGGAGAGAGCGAGAGGUCAGGCCAUGAACCUGGGAGAUGGUUUAAAGCUUGAAACUGAAUUGUUGGAUGGAAAAACCAAGUUAAUAUUGUCUCCAUAUGAAUGUAAAUCAAAAAAUUCUGUGAAGAUGGGAAAUAAGACCAAGAUUGCAAAAUGUCCUUUAAGAACAAAACAAACUGGAUACAUUCUAAAAUCAACCCAAAAUACUUGUAUCAGGAGUGGAAAACUUUUGCAAAAGAAGAGAAUGGGUUCAGAAACUUCACUGGCAAAAGGUGAAAAAAAUAGUAUGACUUUUUCACCCACUAAGGAUUUAUGCAAGCAGUAUGUAGAUAAAGACUGUCUUUAUGUCCAGAAAGAGAUUUCACCUGCAACCCCCAAUAUACAGAAGGCUAGAAACACCAUAAAUACAUCUGUAGUAGCUAAACAGAAGCUUUGCAAAAAACACAUUACAGCUGAAAAUAUGAAGAGCAGUUUGGUGUGUCUAACACAAGACCAACUACAACAGAUUUUGAUGACUGUGAACCAAGGAAAUAAAUCUAUUUCCCUGAUUGAAAAUGGAAAGGAAGAAACAAGUCAGGGCAGUCUACGUUUAAACAAUAUUUCCAGUCAGCCAGAGGAUGAGAAAAUUAUGGGAGUAUUCCAAAAAACUGAGGCUCUUUCAUCUGUCCUGGAUGAAAAUAAAUCUGUUUUAAAUAAAAAUCAAGAGACAUCUAAGCAGUAUGAGCAGAAAAUUGCCAUAGAGAAUGUAUGGAAACCAGCUGACAUAUUCAGUACUCUGGGGGAAAGAGAACGUGACAGAAGUUUGUUGGAAGCAAAAAAAGCCCAGUGGAAGAAAGAGCUUGAUGAACAGGUUGCUUUAAAGAAGAAAGAAAAAGAAGCUUCUGAAAAAUGGAACAAUCCGUGGAAAAAAUUUGAAAGUGAUAAAAUAGUGUGCGAAAAAUUUCAAAUUCUUGACCAGUCUAAGACUUGUGGUAGCUCUUCCAGCAUUCUCUCACAGUCUCCUAUUCAGAUAACAGUGGUCCAGUCUGAUGGGCACCCACUACCUAGAGCUAGUCAGAUUUUAGAGGAAGCAGUACCACCGGAGCACCCUUUUAGUGCCAUUAAACAAGAACAGCAGAGGAAAUGGAUUGAAGAUUUGAACAGGCAAAUAGAAGAUGAUCGGCAAAGAAAAAUAGAGGAAAAAAUUACAUCUUCAAAGGGUGAGGAACAUGACAGAUGGGCAAUGCAUUUUGAUUCAUUAAAGAACUAUCCUGCUUCUCAGUCUCAACUGUCCUCUCGGUCAACACACAACCAACCAGAGUACUUCUGUGUCUCUCCGGACACUCAGGAACUGGCUGAUAUCAGCGGUGUUUAUACACCUAUGACUGGAAGUCAGGUUGAACCUUCAGAGGAGGAGCAUAUAGCAAAACCUGUUAGAGAUAAGGCCAUGGCAAACAGUCAGAAAACAAACUUUCUCCGUUCUAUGACUGCUCUCUUGGAUCCAGCUCAGAUUGAAGAACGUGACAGGCGACGACAAAAACAGUUAGAACAUCAGAAAGCCAUCACUGCUCAGGUAGAAGAGAAACGCAGGAAGAAGCAGCUGGAAGAACAGCAAAGAAAGAAGGAAGAACAAGAAGAGGAGCGUCGCUUAGCACGGGAACGAGAAGAGAUGCAGAAACAAUAUGAAGAAGACAUACUUAAGCAAAAACAAAAGGAAGAAAUUAUGACUCUCAAGACAAAUGAGCUAUUCCAGACAAUGCAGAGAGCACAGGAGCUAGCACAGAGGCUGAAACAAGAACAGAGGAUCCGAGAAUUGGCUCAAAAGGGACAUGACACUUCUGGAUUGAUUAAAAAUCUUGGCGGACAUGGCUUGGAUGAUGUCAGUGGUAAAAAGAAUACAUGUAUCAGUUCUACAACCUCUCCCAAAAAAGAUACUGCUGUACAAACAGAUGACUUAAAUACAGGAACAUUCACCAAUGCAGAAUCAUGCUGUCGAACAGUAAUAGAGAGGGAAAUUCUAAAUUGUUCAUCUCCUGAGAUUCCUGCAGAAUUUAAUGAACAGUUUAACACUAAGAAAGACAAAGAGGAACUUACAAUAAAUCAGGUUAAAGGAGUCAACUUAGAAAAAGAAAACGGUUGGCAUAAUGAUCAGUGUAAUGAGUUUGGAAGGACAGAGAAAACACCUAUGAAGAAAUGUCCUAAAAGGCCUGAUUGGAAUAUAAAUAAACCACUCAAAAGGUAUAUUCCAGCAUCAGAAAAGUACCCUAAACAGCUUCAAAAGCAGAGAGAAGAAAAAAAAGUAAGAAGGCAGAUGGAACUGCUUAAUUUGGUAGAAAGAAAUAAUCCUGGACAUCUCUCUCAAAAUAGAGGCACUUCACCAGUUCUUCCUUCAUCUCAAGAAACAGAGCCAAGGUUCAGGUGGCAUCUAAUCAAAAAGGAAGAAGAGCCUCUGAAAAUUAAUUCUUUCGGCAAGGAAAGGUACGUUAUGGAUUGGAUUGAUUCCAUAGCUACUUAGUGCUGUGUGGGACAAAGGAAGUACAAAUAUUUGCUCAGAAUAUAGGUCUCAGUCACCACCACCAGUUCCAGUGGUGAAAAACAGAGCGCAACAAACUCAGACACUAAAAAACCGUAAUUAUGAAAGAGAGAAUCUGAUCUUAGAAGAUAGUCAAACAGAAACAUCACCUGGGCUUUCUGAACCAUCUCAUUUUAUCCCCUAUGUCCGAACCAGUGAGAUUUAUUACCUUGACCCAGAUGCACCUCUCUCUAGGCCUUUAACCCAGGAUCUUCAAUACCAAACUCCACAUGACUGUGACCAAGAACACCGGCAGCUAUUGGAUUCUGAUGUCAGAGACCCACUUCUUAAUCCUAACUUGGUGAAAAACAGGGAUCGACAGCAAGCAAUCCUUAAGGGACUAUCGGAACUGAGACAGGGCCUUCUCCAGAAGCAAAGGGAAUUGGAAACUAAUCUCAUGCCUUUAGCUGCAAAUCAAGAAGAGAAUUUUAAUUCUUCAUUUUAAAUGUAGAAAAUCAAAUCCUUCACAUUUGUUGCUUCUGAAUUAUAAAAUGUGUUCAUUGCAUAACUGUAUUUUCCAAAAUUUUAAAAAUGCUUAUUUAAAACUUGUACGUUAUGUAGUACAACGCUGUGUGUGUGUAUAUAUUUUUUUACAAUAAAACAGACAUUUUUGUAAAGCUAGUAAAAAACAUUUUUCUGCUCUAUUGCAAUCUAGGUAUUUAAACACUUUCUACUUACCUUAAGACAGGUUUCUGACCUGUUCACAGACCAUGUUCUUCUACACUUACGUAGCUUAUUAUUGAAAUACAAGUUAGGUAUUUGUUCUAUAAAAAGAUUUAAGAGGUUAGAACUCUUCCAAGUUCUUCUGAGGUGCCAAAGGAAGGUCUGACUUUAGCUCAGUAUUUCUUCUCUAUAAUUCCUGUUUUUAGGACUCUACAGAAACAUUUUACAAGUUUGCAUUUCUAAUGCAGUUAUUAGCGACACGGUUUGAAAAUUGAUCAUAUACUUUGUGAAUUUUAGGUUAUUUUUAGUAAAGCACUUAAGUUUUCACCACCUCAAAAAUAUACUUACAUUUUUCUAAGACUACGAAUUCAAAAAUCUAUAGCAAAGUUGUCCCAAAUUUGUUUAGUGCCUUUAAUAAACAGAAGCCUAUCUAUCUUUUGGAAAUAUGAAAUUGAAUUUGGUUAAGUCAAGGACCAUACUAAGCACUGAAAAUUGUAAUGAUCAAAUACCUCAAAUAAAAGGUUGACUGAAAAUUUUACGAACAGGCAAUUUUUACAUGGCUAAGCCUAAAGAUAAAAAUAAUGCUGCCUGGCAUUAAGUCCUAAGUCUUAUAUACAUAGUUUAUCAUCUAAACUGAAACUGCAUUCAUUGUUAGAUAAAUCUUGAGGUAUUGAGCCAAAAUCCUUUAUAUCUAUUGACAUCACUGGCUUAUACCUGUAUAAACACUAUACAGAAGCUUAAACAAUAGUCGAUUUGUAUGUCAUUUCAGCAAAAGUAGUUGGUAUCAUCUGACUGGGGGGG
This is an RNA transcript of Zalophus californianus (California sea lion), 4053 nucleotides long. It is a transcript of the gene named coiled-coil domain containing 66, with no coding region annotated. Lineage: Eukaryota; Metazoa; Chordata; Mammalia; Carnivora; Otariidae. The transcript is spliced from 19 exons. The record is from RefSeq and is a predicted model, not a curated record.